UUUCCGUAGGUGAACCUGCGGAAGGAUCAUUAUUGGACUUUGAUACUUCAGGCUGCUGCUGGCACUCCUCGGAGUGCAUGUUCGCGCUUGUUGUCCAUUAUUUCCCCCACUGUGCACAAAAUGUAGACCUUGGAGUAGGCCUAUGUUGUUUAUCACAAUCUCUGAAUGUAAUAGAAUGGUUUUGUAUCUUGGGAAAUACAUUACAACUUUCAGCAACGGAUCUCUUGGCUCUC
This 233-nucleotide unclassified non-coding RNA is filed under the name plant metagenome. Its description in RNAcentral is "partial contains small subunit ribosomal RNA, internal transcribed spacer 1, and 5.8S ribosomal RNA". The record is from RNAcentral.